Molecule: ribosomal RNA, 988 nt
Filed under: bacterium
Lineage: Bacteria
Description: bacterial SSU rRNA
Rfam family: Bacterial small subunit ribosomal RNA
Source: RNAcentral
AGCACCAGCUUGCUGGUGUGGAUGAGUGGCGAACGGGUGAGUAAUACGUGAGUAACCUGCCCUUGACUCUGGGAUAAGCCCGGGAAACUGGGUCUAAUACUGGAUGCUACAUGUCACCGCAUGGUGGUGUGUGGAAAGGGUUUACUGGUCUUGGAUGGGCUCACGGCCUAUCAGCUUGUUGGUGAGGUAAUGGCUCACCAAGGCGACGACGGGUAGCCGGCCUGAGAGGGUGACCGGCCACACUGGGACUGAGACACGGCCCAGACUCCUACGGGAGGCAGCAGUGGGGAAUAUUGCACAAUGGGCGAAAGCCUGAUGCAGCGACGCCGCGUGAGGGAUGACGGCCUUCGGGUUGUAAACCUCUUUCAGCAGGGAAGAAGCCACAAGUGACGGUACCUGCAGAAGAAGCGCCGGCUAACUACGUGCCAGCAGCCGCGGUAAUACGUAGGGCGCAAGCGUUGUCCGGAAUUAUUGGGCGUAAAGAGCUCGUAGGCGGUUUGUCGCGUCUGCUGUGAAAGCCCGGGGCUUAACCCCGGGUGUGCAGUGGGUACGGGCAGACUAGAGUGCAGUAGGGGAGACUGGAAUUCCUGGUGUAGCGGUGGAAUGCGCAGAUAUCAGGAGGAACACCGAUGGCGAAGGCAGGUCUCUGGGCUGUUACUGACGCUGAGGAGCGAAAGCAUGGGGAGCGAACAGGAUUAGAUACCCUGGUAGUCCAUGCCGUAAACGUUGGGCACUAGGUGUGGGGGACAUUCCACGUUUUCCGCGCCGUAGCUAACGCAUUAAGUGCCCCGCCUGGGGAGUACGGCCGCAAGGCUAAAACUCAAAGGAAUUGACGGGGGCCCGCACAAGCGGCGGAGCAUGCGGAUUAAUUCGAUGCAACGCGAAGAACCUUACCAAGGCUUGACAUAUACCGGGAUCGUUCCAGAGNAUGGUUCUUCCCCUUUGGGGUCGGUAUACAGGUGGUGCAUGGUUGUCGUCAGCUCGUGUC